UAAUUUUAAUGCUGUUCUGUCGUUCAUUGGCAAAAUAGUUUGUACUGAGCCUUUACCAAAUGUUUUUUCACCCAUUAUUACAGCUCUUUUGUGGUCUUGUAAUGCUCCAGCGACGAUUUCAGAGGCAGAUGCUGAUCCACCAUUUACAAGAAUAAUAAUUGGAGUGUCUUUUAACAUUUCAGAUGGCUUUGCAUUAAAUUUAAGUUUUGAAUCCUUGAUUCGGCCCUCUGUAUAAACAAUCAAUCCGUUAUUAAGAAAUAGGUCUGACACACCAACAGCUGCAUUAAGAAGUCCACCAGGAUUAUUUCUUA
RNAcentral lists this non-coding RNA (311 nucleotides) under marine eukaryotic metagenome. The record is from RNAcentral.